RNAcentral lists this ribosomal RNA (1285 nucleotides) under uncultured Synechococcus sp. Its description in RNAcentral is "partial 16S ribosomal RNA". It matches the Rfam family "Bacterial small subunit ribosomal RNA", at positions 63 to 1429 of the family's 1533-position model. The record is from RNAcentral. Lineage: Bacteria; Bacillati; Cyanobacteriota; Cyanophyceae; Synechococcales; Synechococcaceae.
CGAACGAACCUUCGGGUUAGUGGCGGACGGGUGAGUAACGCGUGGGAAUCUGCCCUCAGGAGGGGGAUAACGGCUGGAAACGGCCGCUAAUACCCCAUAUGCCGAGAGGUGAAACGAAUUUCGCCUGAGGAUGAGCCCGCGUCUGAUUAGCUAGUUGGUGAGGUAAGAGCUCACCAAGGCAUCGAUCAGUAGCUGGUCUGAGAGGAUGAUCAGCCACACUGGGACUGAGACACGGCCCAGACUCCUACGGGAGGCAGCAGUGGGGAAUUUUCCGCAAUGGGCGAAAGCCUGACGGAGCAACGCCGCGUGAGGGAUGAAGGCCUCUGGGCUGUAAACCUCUUUUCUCAAGGAAGAAGAUCUGACGGUACUUGAGGAAUAAGCCACGGCUAAUUCCGUGCCAGCAGCCGCGGUAAUACGGGAGUGGCAAGCGUUAUCCGGAAUUAUUGGGCGUAAAGCGUCCGCAGGCGGCCUUUCAAGUCUGCUGUUAAAACGUGGAGCUUAACUCCAUCAUGGCAGUGGAAACUGUUGGGCUUGAGUGUGGUAGGGGCAGAGGGAAUUCCCGGUGUAGCGGUGAAAUGCGUAGAUAUCGGGAAGAACACCAGUGGCGAAGGCGCUCUGCUGGGCCAUCACUGACGCUCAUGGACGAAAGCCAGGGGAGCGAAAGGGAUUAGAUACCCCUGUAGUCCUGGCCGUAAACGAUGAACACUAGGUGUCGGGGGAAUCGACCCCCUCGGUGUCGUAGCCAACGCGUUAAGUGUUCCGCCUGGGGAGUACGCACGCAAGUGUGAAACUCAAAGGAAUUGACGGGGGCCCGCACAAGCGGUGGAGUAUGUGGUUUAAUUCGAUGCAACGCGAAGAACCUUACCAGGGUUUGACAUCCUGCGAAUCUCUUGAAACGAGAGAGUGCCUUCGGGAACGCAGUGACAGGUGUGCAUGCUGUCGUCAGCUCGUGUCGUGAGAUGUGGUAGUCCCGCACGAGCGCACCACGUCUUAGUGCAGCAUUAGUGGGCACUCUAGAGAGACCGCGGUGAUAAUGGAGAAGGGUGAUGACGUCAGUCAUCAUGCCCUACAUCCUGGGCUACACACGUACUACAAUGCUACGGACAAAGAGUAGUAAGUUCGGAGACAAGCAAUUCUCUAAACCUUGCUCGAUUCGAUCGUAGCUGCACCUCGCCCUCAGUGAGGAGAGAAUCCUCUAUAUUCUAAGUUGAUAAAUUUGGUGGAGAAUUUCGGCCGGUGUAAGAAGCGGCUGACAUAUGGAAAAUGUGUAGUUAGGCCCGAGACG